This 492-nucleotide ribosomal RNA is filed under the name uncultured bacterium. Its description in RNAcentral is "partial 16S ribosomal RNA". It matches the Rfam family "Bacterial small subunit ribosomal RNA", at positions 29 to 507 of the family's 1533-position model. The record is from RNAcentral.
AGUGAACGCUGGCGGUAGGCCUAACACAUGCAAGUCGAACGGCAGCACAGUAAGAGCUUGCUCUUACGGGUGGCGAGUGGCGGACGGGUGAGGAAUACAUCGGAAUCUACUUUUUCGUGGGGGAUAACGUAGGGAAGCUUACGCUAAUACCGCAUACGACCUACGGGUGAAAGCAGGGGAUCUUCGGACCUUGCGCGAUUGAAUGAGCCGAUGUCGGAUUAGCUAGUUGGCGGGGUAAAGGCCCACCAAGGCGAUGAUCCGUAGCUGGUCUGAGAGGAUGAUCAGCCACACUGGAACUGAGACACGGUCCAGACUCCUACGGGAGGCAGCAGUGGGGAAUAUUGGACAAUGGGCGCAAGCCUGAUCCAGCCAUACCGCGUGGGUGAAGAAGGCCUUCGGGUUGUAAAGCCCUUUUGUUGGGAAAGAAAAGCAGCAGGUUAAUACCCCGCUGUUCUGACGGUACCCAAAGAAUAAGCACCGGCUAACUUCGUG